Molecule: ribosomal RNA, 274 nt
Filed under: uncultured bacterium
Lineage: Bacteria
Description: partial 16S ribosomal RNA
Rfam family: Bacterial small subunit ribosomal RNA
Source: RNAcentral
AUACGGAGGGUGCAAGCGUUAAUCGGAAUUACUGGGCUUAAAGGGCGUGUAGGCGUCCUGGUAAGUCAGAUGUGGAAGCCUUGGGCUCAACCCAAGAAUUGCAUUUGAUACUGCCGGGAUUGAGUCGUGCAUGGGAGGGCGGAAUUCCUGGUGUAGCGGUGAAAUGCGUAGAUAUCAGGAGGAAGGCCGGUGGCGAAGGUGGCCCUCUGGGCAAUGACUGACGCUGAGGCGCGAAAGCGUGGGGAGCAAACAGGAUUAGAUACCCCAGUAGUCC